GAGAUGCACCAUGCUGGCCUGAAAUUUUGCUCGUCGCACCAUACACAACGACAACGGAGACGGAACAAAACGGUCACCUAGCGAAAGCAAUAACAUGAUUAGAUAUUUGACUUCAUCAGUAUCACCUGCCUAACAAUCACUUC
Molecule: non-coding RNA, 143 nt
Filed under: Thalassiosira antarctica
Lineage: Eukaryota; Bacillariophyta; Thalassiosirophyceae; Thalassiosirales; Thalassiosiraceae
Source: RNAcentral